AAAUGCGAUAAGUAAUGUGAAUUGCAGAAUUCAGUGAAUCAUCGAAUCUUUGAACGCACCUUGCGCUCCUUGGUAUUCCUUGGAGCAUGCCUGUUUGAGUAUCAUGAAAUCUUCAAAGUAAAUCUUUUGUUAACUCAAUUGGUUUCUACUUUGGUAUUGGAGGUCUUUGCAGCUUCACACCUGCUCCUCUUUGUUCAUUAGCUGGAUCUCAGUGUUAUGCUUGGUUCCACUCGGCGUGAUAAGUUAUCUAUCGCUGAGGACACUGUAAAAGGUGGCCAAGGUAAAUGCAGAUGAACCGCUUCUAAUAGUCCAUUGACUUGGACAAUACUUUUAUGAUCUGAUCUCAAAUCAGGUAGGACUACCCGCUGAACUUAGGC
This 377-nucleotide unclassified non-coding RNA is filed under the name plant metagenome. RNAcentral's name for it is "partial contains 5.8S ribosomal RNA, internal transcribed spacer 2, and large subunit ribosomal RNA". The stretch from base 1 to 104 matches the Rfam family "5.8S ribosomal RNA", at positions 51 to 154 of the family's 154-position model. The record is from RNAcentral.